This 675-nucleotide ribosomal RNA is filed under the name uncultured bacterium. RNAcentral's name for it is "bacterial SSU rRNA". It matches the Rfam family "Bacterial small subunit ribosomal RNA", at positions 57 to 728 of the family's 1533-position model. The record is from RNAcentral.
GCAGUCGUGGGGCAGCACAGGUAGCAAUACUGGGUGGCGACCGGCAAACGGGUGCGGAACACGUACGCAACCUUCCUUUAACUGGAGAAUAGCCCGGGGAAACCCGGAUUAAUACUCCGUAACAUUAUGAAGUGGCAUCACUUUAUAAUUAUAGCUCCGGCGGUUGAAGAUGGGCGUGCGUCUGAUUAGGUAGUUGGCGGGGUAACGGCCCACCAAGCCUACGAUCAGUAACUGGUGUGAGAGCACGACCAGUCACACGGGCACUGAGACACGGGCCCGACUCCUACGGGAGGCAGCAGUAAGGAAUAUUGGUCAAUGGACGCAAGUCUGAACCAGCCAUGCCGCGUGGAGGAUGAAGGUCCUCUGGAUUGUAAACUUCUUUUAUUUGGGAAGAAACCACCGAUUUCUAUUGGUGUUGACGGCACCAGAUGAAUAAGCACCGGCUAACUCCGUGCCAGCAGCCGCGGUAAUACGGAGGGUGCAAGCGUUAUCCGGAUUCACUGGGUUUAAAGGGUGCGUAGGCGGGUUGGUAAGUCCGUGGUGAAAUCCCCGAGCUUAACUUGGGAACUGCCAUUGAUACUAUUAAUCUUGAAUAUCGUGGAGGUUAGUGGAAUAUGUCAUGUAGCGGUGAAAUGCUUAGAUAUGACAUAGAACACCAAUUGCGAAGGCAACUGA